ACGAACGCUGGCGGCGUGCUUAACACAUGCCAGUCGAACGGAAAGGCCCUGCUUUUGUGGGGUGCUCGAGUGGCGAACGGGUGAGUAACACGUGAGUAACCUGCCCUUGACUUUGGGAUAACUUCAGGAAACUGGGGCUAAUACCGGAUAGGAGCUCCUGCUGCAUGGUGGGGGUUGGAAAGUUUCGGCGGUUGGGGAUGGACUCGCGGCUUAUCAGCUUGUUGGUGGGGUAGUGGCUUACCAAGGCUUUGACGGGUAGCCGGCCUGAGAGGGUGACCGGCCACAUUGGGACUGAGAUACGGCCCAGACUCCUGCGGGAGGCAGCAGUGGGGAAUAUUGCACAAUGGGCGGAAGCCUGAUGCAGCAACGCCGCGUGCGGGAUGACGGCCUUCGGGUUGUAAACCGCUUUCGCCUGUGACGAAGCGUGAGUGACGGUAAUGGGUAAAGAAGCACCGGCUAACUACGUG
RNAcentral lists this ribosomal RNA (467 nucleotides) under uncultured bacterium. RNAcentral's name for it is "partial 16S ribosomal RNA". It matches the Rfam family "Bacterial small subunit ribosomal RNA", at positions 29 to 507 of the family's 1533-position model. The record is from RNAcentral.